This is a long non-coding RNA of Vicia villosa (hairy vetch), 1327 nucleotides long. RefSeq lists it as uncharacterized. The record is from RefSeq and is a predicted model, not a curated record. The transcript has 3 exons. Lineage: Eukaryota; Viridiplantae; Streptophyta; Magnoliopsida; Fabales; Fabaceae.
UCCACUGGAAUGUGGAGUUGGUUGAAGUAAGCAACAAAGUUACCUAAUUAUGUUUUCUGUUCUUCCCUUUCUCUUUAUGAAGUUUGUUUGAUUCUGAUUUUUGCUCAACUUUUCCUUGAUUGUUGAAGGGAAGGGUUCAAAAUAACUCUGCAAAAUUGGAAUUUCAUCACAACCCAUGUGUAGAAUUUUUCUGUCUGAAUUAUCUGAAGGAGGCGAGACAUUCAAGUUGGAAUGUAGCUGCAAAGGUGAACUUUGCUUUGGCUCACCAAGAAUGUGCUAUUAAAUGGUUUAGUAUAAAGGGUACUAGAACUUGUGAUGUCUGCAAAAAGGAUGUUAGAAACCUUGCUGUCACUCUAUUACAGAUUCAAAGUGUUCGAAAUCGAUUUGCUGGAGCAAGUAGAUCUCAACUCGAAGAUGUAAACGAGUACAUGUUACAAAAAUAGGAACCGGUGCAUUUGCCAUAUCUCUUCCAUUUUUUCUGUGUACUAGGCCUGCUCUCCUCCAUGACAUCAUCAACCAUGGAACCGCUGCAUCGUGUUUCCAACAAGAGCCUUACUGUCCUUCGAGUGCACCUCACAAACUUUAUGAUGUCGGUGAUAAUCUUUAGCAUUGUUGAGAUCUGCGCGACAAUCCUCCACCUGACAAAAUGCUCUACUGGAGCUACCUCCACCAGCUACUCUACUUUUCUUCCCAGUGUUCCUUUCCCAUGUAACAAUUGUUCAUGUGUGUAAUGGAUUCACACCCUUACGGUACGCGCGAGUUAUAUUUCAGUUCAAUACUAAAUUGAAUCCAAUCGAUACGAAUCUCUAUCGCGCAUAUAUCUGGACAUGAAUCUCAUCAUGAAUACCUAUUCAUUAUGGUGAAUCAUCACCUAAACUUAGUGCAGUCAACUUUGUUAAACUAACCAUUAUUUUUGUGUAAAGUGAAAAGCAGGUUCAUAUGAGUUUAUGCAUCUUUACACUUUUCUCUGGUGGUUCUCUUCGUGCAUAUAUUUUACUCAUUGGUAACCAAUUUCUAUGUGAAUCUUAAACUCAUUACAUGUACUUUUCACUUUAAAAAAAGAUUGAUAGUACUCAUGUUGAAUCCUGAUUCAUUAGGAAGAAUCCUGAUUCAUGUAUCCAUUCCCUUACUUUAGGAGUUGUAGCAUCAAAUUCCCAAAUUAUACUUUAUACUUCACGUAUAGGCCAUGCAAUCAGGAUAUAUCCUUAAAAUUUUCGCUGCAUUCAAUUGUUUACCGAAUUGAUUAUAUUGGUUCUAUUAUAUUUGCAUAGAAUCCAAAGUGGAGCUAUGUGUUAUGUAUAUAUUAUUCAUAUUGCCUUAGUAAUCA